RNAcentral lists this ribosomal RNA (315 nucleotides) under Triticum aestivum (bread wheat). RNAcentral describes it as "partial small subunit ribosomal RNA". The record is from RNAcentral. Lineage: Eukaryota; Viridiplantae; Streptophyta; Magnoliopsida; Poales; Poaceae.
AUGCUCGCCGCCGUCGCUCGCAACAAAAAGGCCGUUGACCGUAGCAGCUUUUUCUCUUGCCUCUGUGUUGCAUCCAUGGUAGCUUCGCGGCGCCGACCGCGACACCGUCCCUCGCCGGUGCUGCCCACCGCCGUUGCAGCAUCAAUGGCGACGGCGGUGUCGCUUCCAGACAAAGCUGAUGGUAGCAAAGAACGGAUUGUUGGUUCUAGCAAAAGUCGAUGGCGGUUGAAGCAAAAUUGGGGCUGGUUCCAAGAAAAACAAAAGAUAGUGGUAGCAAAAAAUAUUGCUGGUUCCAGCAAAAAUCGAAGGCGAUGA